CGAUUUUGAAGUCAUCCGCAGCUACUGGCCACUCACAGGGUUGGAGCAAUUUCGUUCUGGUACACAGAAUCCACAACCUUCCUGUUACAAGAGUUUCACUGCAGUAAGAAAUUUAAAUUACUCAAGGCAGUUAAAUUCCAGAUUGGUAUUGAGACAAAGUUAGGACGAAAAGGGCGUAUGUAAAAUUACCGUUUCCGGGUUGUAGCAUCAAACAGGGCGAUCCAAUUCUGAGCGCAAAAAAAGCACUUCCAGGAAGUUCCUCUUCUGGAGCUCGGUAUACCAAACAGAAAGCCC
This 294-nucleotide long non-coding RNA is filed under the name Lathyrus oleraceus (garden pea). RNAcentral describes it as "Pisum sativum (pea) long non-coding RNA (PSAT_LNC009004)". The record is from RNAcentral. Lineage: Eukaryota; Viridiplantae; Streptophyta; Magnoliopsida; Fabales; Fabaceae.